ACAUGCUCAUACUUUUAAUGUUCAUACUUUUCUGUUGGCCAACAUUUCUAGAAAUCCUUUGUUUGUAUCGGUCUUAAGUAAUAUUCUAAUAUUCCUUUCAACAAU
Melanotaenia boesemani (Boeseman's rainbowfish) is the source of this 105-nucleotide long non-coding RNA. RefSeq lists it as uncharacterized. The transcript has 3 exons. Lineage: Eukaryota; Metazoa; Chordata; Actinopteri; Atheriniformes; Melanotaeniidae. The record is from RefSeq and is a predicted model, not a curated record.